AGGACAAUAAUGCUGAAAGCAUUUGAAAUUUAUCAAUUUUCACUCUAGCAGAAGGUAGUUUCGGACUUUGCCGAUUAUUACAAAUGAGGCCUUAUCACUGAAGUUUGUAACAUCCGAUAUCAGCGGAUAACUGCCAUUGCAUUUAGCGACAGCUGUAAACAGAAUGGCAGAAGAACCUUUUGAGAGGACGGAAAAGAAACCCGAGCCUGUCAGCAUUACCUCCCCUGAAAUGUAAGAAACUGGUGGAUUCCAAGACAAAAUUGUGGAAAAUGGAGACAUCUUCAAAUAACAGAAAGAAAUAAAGGCUGAAGAGGCAGGAUCACAGAUGUCAGAUGAAAGUUACCGCAAAAAAGGUUAAGUUGGAAAAGAGUGAAAAUGAAAAUGGAUGCUUGUGCAGUGACUGAAGUUGAAGUCAUAAAUUGAGGAUGAUGAAGCUACACGAAAAAGCUCUCAGCUCUACAGUCCGAGUCUGACCGACUUGUCCGACGAGCCACUGUCGGCGGCACUGCGAUCGCAGGCCCCUCACGGUGUGUGCUUACUCAGGCAAGUGUCGUGGGGAUUUGUUAAUGUAGAGGCUGACUGUACGCUGUAGGUGUCUGCAGACUUCCAUCAUUAGAGGAACAGUUCUAUGAACAGUACAUGCCAUUCUCGGGAGUGUGGACCACUUCGUUGGUUACUCGAGUUCCUCAUCUGACCCCAGAACUGUCAUUUACUGCAGCUAGGCAUUUAGCACUAAUAAAAUGUGAGUUACAUAAAAUGGAAGUGUCCGACAUAUCAGCAGCCGUGAAGAUAUGAAAAUUUAAAGGUAUCUCCAUUUUGAGCAGUACAAACUUUAGAAUUAUUAUUCUAAUUUG
Molecule: long non-coding RNA, 854 nt
Organism: Schistocerca americana (American grasshopper)
Lineage: Eukaryota; Metazoa; Arthropoda; Insecta; Orthoptera; Acrididae
Exons: 3
Source: RefSeq, a predicted model, not a curated record